CCUACGGGAGGCAGCAGUGGGGAAUAUUGGGCAAUGGAGGAAACUCUGACCCAGCGACGCCGCGUGCGGGAUGAAGGCCUUCGGGUUGUAAACCGCUUUCAGUAGGGAAGAAGCGAAAGUGACGGUACCUACAAAAGAAGCACCGGCUAACUAUGUGCCAGCAGCCGCGGUAAUACAUAGGGUGCAAGCGUUGUCCGGAAUUAUUGGGCGUAAAGAGCUCGUAGGUCGUUUGUUACGUCGGAUGUGAAAACCUGAGGCUCAACCUCAGGCCUGCAUUCGAUACGGGCAAACUAGAGUUUGGUAGGGGAGACUGGAAUUCCUGGUGUAGCGGUGGAAUGCGCAGAUAUCAGGAGGAACACCAAUGGCGAAGGCAGGUCUCUGGGCCAAUACUGACACUGAGGAGCGAAAGUCUGGGGAGCGAACAGGAUUAGAUACCCUGGUAGUCCAGACCGUAAACGGUGGGCACUAGUUGUGGGAACCUUCCACGGUUUCUGCGACGCNGCUACGCAUAGUAGCCCGCCGUCGGGAGGUACGAGUCGCGAGAAGUUAAACGUAACGAAAGGAAAGUUAGUAACGGUCGUGUUAGACGUGCCGACGGACGACGACGAGGGAGGAGG
Molecule: ribosomal RNA, 617 nt
Filed under: uncultured bacterium
Lineage: Bacteria
Description: bacterial SSU rRNA
Rfam family: Bacterial small subunit ribosomal RNA (bases 1-521)
Source: RNAcentral